GAUGAACGCUGGCGGCGUGCCUAAUACAUGCAAGUCGAGCGAACAGACGAGGAGCUUGCUCCUCUAACGUUAGCGGCGGACGGGUGAGUAACACGUGGAUAACCUACCUAUAAGACUGGGAUAACUUCGGGAAACCGGAGCUAAUACCGGAUAAUAUAUUGAACCGCAUGAUUCAAUAGUGAAAGACGGUUUUGCUGUCACUUAUAGAUGGAUCCGCACCGCAUUAGCUAGUUGGUAAGGUAACAGCUUACCAAGGCAACGAUGCGUAGCCGACCUGAGAGGGUGAUCGGCCAUACUGGAACUGAGACACGGUCCAGACUCCUACGGGAGGCAGCAGUAGGGAAUCUUCCGCAAUGAGCGAAAGCCUGACGGAGCAACGCCGCGUGAGUGAUGAAGGUCUUCGGAUCGUAAAACUCUGUUAUUAGGGAAGAACAAAUGUGUAAGUAACUAUGCACGUCUUGACGGUACCUAAUCAGAAAGCCACGGCUAACUACGUGCCAGCAGCCGCCGUAA
Molecule: ribosomal RNA, 513 nt
Filed under: uncultured bacterium
Lineage: Bacteria
Description: partial 16S ribosomal RNA
Rfam family: Bacterial small subunit ribosomal RNA
Source: RNAcentral